AUGGGCGGAAGCCUGAACCAGCCAAGUAGCGUGCAGGAUGACGGCCCUACGGGUUGUAAACUGCUUUUAUGCGGGGAUAAAGUGAGGGACGUGUCCCUUUUUGCAGGUACCGCAUGAAUAAGGACCGGCUAAUUCCGUGCCAGCAGCCGCGGUAAUACGGAAGGUCCGGGCGUUAUCCGGAUUUAUUGGGUUUAAAGGGAGCGUAGGCCGGGGAUUAAGUGUGUUGUGAAAUGUAGGCGCCCAACGUCUGACUUGCAGCGCAUACUGGUUCCCUUGAGUACGCGCAACGCCGGCGGAAUUCGUCGUGUAGCGGUGAAAUGCUUAGAUAUGACGAAGAACCCCGAUUGCGAAGGCAGCCGGCGGGAGCGCAACUGACGCUGAAGCUCGAAGGUGCGGGUAUCGAACAGGAUUAGAUACCCUGGUAGUCCGCACGGUAAACGAUGGAUGCCCGCUGUCGGCGCCUUGCGCCGGCGGCCAAGCGAAAGCGUUAAGCAUCCCACCUGGGGAGUACGCCGGCAACGGUGAAACUCAAAGGAAUUGACGGGGGCCCGCACAAGCGGAGGAACAUGUGGUUUAAUUCGAUGAUACGCGAGGAACCUUACCCGGGCUUGAAUCGCAGGAGAACGAAACAGAGAUGUUGAGGUCCUUCGGGACUCCUGCGAAGGUGCUGCAUGGGUUGUCGUCAGCUCGUGCCGUGAGGUGUCGGCCUUAAGUGCCAU
This 719-nucleotide ribosomal RNA is filed under the name Prevotella denticola. Its description in RNAcentral is "bacterial SSU rRNA". It matches the Rfam family "Bacterial small subunit ribosomal RNA", at positions 371 to 1090 of the family's 1533-position model. The record is from RNAcentral. Lineage: Bacteria; Pseudomonadati; Bacteroidota; Bacteroidia; Bacteroidales; Prevotellaceae.